Aethalodelphis obliquidens (Pacific white-sided dolphin) is the source of this 337-nucleotide long non-coding RNA. RefSeq lists it as uncharacterized. NCBI's taxonomy places the organism in Eukaryota, Metazoa, Chordata, Mammalia, Artiodactyla, Delphinidae. The record is from RefSeq and is a predicted model, not a curated record. The transcript has 3 exons.
CGCGCUGGGCCUCGACCCGCUGCUCCGCGGACGGCUGCAAUGCGGCUCUGAGCUCCCGCGGCUGCACCGGCUCCGCGCGGGGAGUGCUGGGCGCACGCCCCAAUAGAAGAAAAAGAGCCAGAAGUUGUGUGAGACCAAGUUGGGUAAAGGAAGUAGCUGGCCAUCUAUUCAUGCAUUCAUGGAGGGAUGAAGAGUUUGGACGCUGGACCCAAAUGCCUGGGUUCAUAUGCCAGCUCUGUCAGUUUUUAAUGGGCAUCAUCCUCAGAUUCAAAGACCAGAUGUGCUUUCUUAUCAUCCAAGAUGAGCUGUUAUUAAUGGAAGAGAAGAAAAUCAGCAG